CAGGAAGUAAGAACUUGUGCUGGACUGGUGAGUGAAGUCAAAGGUCAACCCUGAAUCCUCAUCCCUGGAGCGGGCAGGGCUGGAUGAUGUCACCUCUCACCCUUCAAAU
This is a long non-coding RNA of Seriola dumerili (greater amberjack), 109 nucleotides long. RefSeq lists it as uncharacterized. Lineage: Eukaryota; Metazoa; Chordata; Actinopteri; Carangiformes; Carangidae. The record is from RefSeq and is a predicted model, not a curated record. The transcript has 3 exons.